This 428-nucleotide ribosomal RNA is filed under the name Acidobacteriota bacterium. Its description in RNAcentral is "Acidobacteria bacterium partial 16S ribosomal RNA". It matches the Rfam family "Bacterial small subunit ribosomal RNA", at positions 355 to 776 of the family's 1533-position model. Lineage: Bacteria; Pseudomonadati; Acidobacteriota. The record is from RNAcentral.
UGGGGAAUUUUGGACAAUGGGGGAAACCUGAUCCAGCCAUCCCGCGUGUGCGAUGAAGGCCUUCGGGUUGUAAAGCACUUUUGGCAGGAAAGAAACGUCAUGGGUUAAUACCCCGUGAAACUGACGGUACCUGCAGAAUAAGCACCGGCUAACUACGUUCCAGCAGCCGCGGUAAUACGUAGGGUGCAAGCGUUAAUCGGAAUUACUGGGCGUAAAGCGUGCGCAGGCGGUUCGGAAAGAAAGAUGUGAAAUCCCAGAGCUCAACUUUGGAACUGCAUUUUUAACUACCGGGCUAGAGUGUGUCAGAGGGAGGUGGAAUUCCGCGUGUAGCAGUGAAAUGCGUAGAUAUGCGGAGGAACACCGAUGGCGAAGGCAGCCUCCUGGGAUAACACUGACGCUCAUGCACGAAAGCGUGGGGAGCAAACAGG